Non-coding RNA from Peromyscus maniculatus bairdii (prairie deer mouse), 412 nucleotides. Lineage: Eukaryota; Metazoa; Chordata; Mammalia; Rodentia; Cricetidae. The record is from RefSeq and is a predicted model, not a curated record.
CUUGGCCAUUCAGCUAUAGUUACAGCAUCAGCCCACCUGGGACUGAAGCUCGAGGCAGGGGAGCAGAAUGACUGAUGUGACUCAAAAGGAAAACAAUGAGGCUGGGAAGUCCAACAUGAAGAGGGCCCCACCUGAUAGGAGACACCUGCUGCGCCACCCUAAGGUAGAGGGCAAAAGGACCUGGGGACAAGACCUCUGCCCCAGGGCCUGGGCUGAUGUCCUUGGCAGGCCUCUGAAGGAGCUUCCUCUUCCCUCAAGGACAGGAUUACCCAACUGGCCAGCGGGAUGAAAGGACUUUUGUCUGAGAUGUGUACUGUAAAAUCCAGCUCCUGUGUGAAGAUUUUCAUGACUCAAGAGCUUUCACAUGAAUACCUUUGCAUUUGGAAAUGAAAGGUGGAAAGUUCUCACCCUA